AUUGAACGCUGGCGGCAGGCCUAACACAUGCAAGUCGAGCGAGCGGCGGACGGGUGCGUAAUGUAUGGGGACUGCCCGAUAGAGGGGGAUAACUACUGGAUACGGUAGCUAAUACCGCAUACUAUCGGAUAACCGAUAUGGGAUUAGCUAGUUGGUGAGGUAAUGGCUCACCUAGGCGACGAUCCCUAGCUGGUCUGAGAGGAUGAUCAGCCACACUGGGACUGAGACACGGCCCAGACUCCUACGGAGGCAGCAGUGGGGAAUAUUGGACAAUGGGCGCAAGCCUGAUGCAGCCAUGCCGCGUGUAUGAAGAAGGCCUUAGGGUUGUAAAGUACUUUCAGUCGGGAGGCGUUACCUACAGAAGAAGCACCGGCUAACUCCGUGCCAGCAGCCGCGGUAAUUC
This 403-nucleotide ribosomal RNA is filed under the name uncultured bacterium. RNAcentral describes it as "partial 16S ribosomal RNA". It matches the Rfam family "Bacterial small subunit ribosomal RNA", at positions 30 to 526 of the family's 1533-position model. The record is from RNAcentral.